RNAcentral lists this ribosomal RNA (253 nucleotides) under uncultured bacterium. RNAcentral's name for it is "partial 16S ribosomal RNA". It matches the Rfam family "Bacterial small subunit ribosomal RNA", at positions 524 to 776 of the family's 1533-position model. The record is from RNAcentral.
UACGGGGGGUGCGAGCGUUAAUCGGAAUAACUGGGCGUAAAGGGCACGCAGGCGGACUUUUAAGUGAGGUGUGAAAUCCCCGGGCUCAACCUGGGAACUGCGUUUUGAACUGGCGGACUAGAGUGUGUCAGAGGGGGGUAGAAUUCCACGUGUAGCAGUGAAAUGCGUAGAGAUGUGGAGGAAUACCGAUGGCGAAGGCAGCCCCCUGGGAUAACACUGACGUUCAUGCCCGAAAGCGUGGGUAGCAAACAGG